GACGAACGCUGGCGGCGUGCUUAACACAUGCCGGUCGAACGGAAAGGCCCUGCUUUUGUGGGGUGCUCGAGUGGCGAACGGGUGAGUAACACGUGAGUAACCUGCCCUUGACUUUGGGAUAACUUCAGGAAACUGGGGCUAAUACCGGAUAGGAGCUCCUGCUGCAUGGUGGGGGUUGGAAAGUUUCGGCGGUUGGGGAUGGACUCGCGGCUUAUCAGCUUGUUGGUGGGGUAGUGGCUUACCAAGGCUUUGACGGGUAGCCGGCCUGAGAGGGUGACCGGCCACAUUGGGACUGAGGUACCGCCCAGACUCCUACCGGAGGCAACAGUGGGGAAUAUUGCACAAUGGGCGGAAGCCUGAUGCAGCAACGCCGCGUGCGGGAUGACGGCCUUCGGGUUGUAAACCGCUUUCGCCUGUGACGAAGCGUGAGUGACGGUAAUGGGUUAAGAAGCACCGGCUAACUACGUG
RNAcentral lists this ribosomal RNA (468 nucleotides) under uncultured bacterium. RNAcentral's name for it is "partial 16S ribosomal RNA". It matches the Rfam family "Bacterial small subunit ribosomal RNA", at positions 28 to 507 of the family's 1533-position model. The record is from RNAcentral.